Molecule: microRNA, 23 nt
Filed under: Gadus morhua (Atlantic cod)
Lineage: Eukaryota; Metazoa; Chordata; Actinopteri; Gadiformes; Gadidae
Description: gmo-miR-11268-5p
Source: miRBase by way of RNAcentral
UCGGUACACUUGUGAUUGACCUC